CAGUAGCGUAUAUUAAAGUUGUUGCGGUUAAAAAGCUCGUAGUUGGAUUUCUGCUGAGAACGACCGGUCCGCCCUCUGGGUGUGUAUCUGGCUCUUUCUUGGCAUCUUCUUGGUGAACGUUGCUGCACUUGACUGUGUGGAGCGCUACCCAGGACUUUUACUUUGAGGAAAUUAGAGUGUUUCAAGCAGGCAUACGCCUUGAAUACAUUAGCAUGGAAUAAUAAGAUAGGACCUCGGUUCUAUUUUGUUGGUUUCUAGAGCUGAGGUAAUGAUUAAUAGGGAUAGUUGGGGGCAUUCGUAUUUAACUGUCAGAGGUGUGAUUCUUGGAUUUGUUAAAGACGGACUACUGCGAAAGCAUUUGCCAAGGAUGUUUNCAUUGA
This 380-nucleotide ribosomal RNA is filed under the name uncultured eukaryote. RNAcentral's name for it is "partial 18S ribosomal RNA". It matches the Rfam family "Eukaryotic small subunit ribosomal RNA", at positions 592 to 976 of the family's 1831-position model. The record is from RNAcentral.